This 301-nucleotide ribosomal RNA is filed under the name uncultured bacterium. Its description in RNAcentral is "partial 16S ribosomal RNA". It matches the Rfam family "Bacterial small subunit ribosomal RNA", at positions 509 to 809 of the family's 1533-position model. The record is from RNAcentral.
CAGCCGCCGCGGUAAUACGGAGGGUGCUAGCGUUGUUCGGAAUCACUGGGCGUAAAGGGCGCGUAGGCGGCCUGUUAAGUCGGAUGUGAAAGCCCGGGGCUCAACCCCGGAACUGCAUCCGAGACUGGCAGGCUUGAGACCGGGAGAGGAGGGUGGAAUAUCCAGUGUAGAGGUGAAAUUCGUAGAUAUUGGAUGGAACACCGGUGGCGAAAGCGGCUCUCUGGCCCGGAUCUGACGCUGAGGCGCGAAAGCGUGGGGAGCAAACAGGAUUAGAUACCCGAGUAGUCCCUGUCUCUUAUAA